Molecule: small RNA, 106 nt
Filed under: Mytilus galloprovincialis (Mediterranean mussel)
Lineage: Eukaryota; Metazoa; Mollusca; Bivalvia; Mytilida; Mytilidae
Source: RNAcentral
GGCUUGUUACAAUUGCCGGGUUUACUAUCCAUACGAACCCCUAAAAAAACACUGUUUUUUUUAAGGGGUUCGUAUGGAUAGUAAACCCGGCAAUUGUAACAAGCCC